UAUUAUUCUAUCAACCUUGCUGGCUGUCUACUCAACAGGUGGACAUGGUCAGACCCUGACUGAAUCUGAGCCUGUGGUCAUUAAUCCUGGAGGAUCUCACAGACUGACCUGCACAGCCUCUGGGUU
Long non-coding RNA from Clupea harengus (Atlantic herring), 126 nucleotides. RefSeq lists it as uncharacterized. The record is from RefSeq and is a predicted model, not a curated record. The transcript has 2 exons. NCBI's taxonomy places the organism in Eukaryota, Metazoa, Chordata, Actinopteri, Clupeiformes, Clupeidae.